This 506-nucleotide ribosomal RNA is filed under the name uncultured bacterium. RNAcentral describes it as "bacterial SSU rRNA". It matches the Rfam family "Bacterial small subunit ribosomal RNA", at positions 535 to 1040 of the family's 1533-position model. The record is from RNAcentral.
CAAGCGUUGUCCGGAUUUAUUGGGCGUAAAGAGCUCGUAGGCGGCUGAGUAAGUCGGGUGUUAAAUCCCCAGGCUCAACCUGGGACACCACCCGAUACUGCUCUGGCUAGAGUCCGGUAGGGGAGCGUGGAAUUCCUGGUGUAGCGGUGAAAUGCGCAGAUAUCAGGAGGAACACCAGCGGCGAAGGCGGCGCUCUGGGGCCGGAACUGACGCUGAGGAGCGAAAGCGUGGGUAGCAAACAGGAUUAGAUACCCUGGUAGUCCACGCCGUAAACGUUGGGCACUAGGUGUGGGGUCUAUUCAACGGACUCCGUGCCGUAGCUAACGCAUUAAGUGCCCCGCCUGGGGAGUACGGCCGCAAGGCUAAAACUCAAAGGAAUUGACGGGGGCCCGCACAAGCAGCGGAGCAUGUUGCUUAAUUCGAGGCAACGCGAAGAACCUUACCUGGGUUUGACAUGUAGAGAAAAGCCAUAGAGAUAUGGUGUCCUUCGGGGUUCUACACAGGUG